This 203-nucleotide long non-coding RNA is filed under the name Sorghum bicolor (sorghum). Its description in RNAcentral is "long non-coding RNA (SBIC_LNC014849)". The record is from RNAcentral. Lineage: Eukaryota; Viridiplantae; Streptophyta; Magnoliopsida; Poales; Poaceae.
CCGCCUGUAUAAAGAUUUUUGUAAUUUUUUUAUUAUUAUUGUUUUCAAUAUUUUGGUUACUAUUUUUUUUAUUGCAUAUUGAUAUUAUAAUAUAAUAAUAUUUUAACAUAAUUAUUUCUAUAUUCUAUAUUGGUAACAUAAUUAUAUUGUUUAUAUAUUAUUUGUAUAAUGAUAUUAUAAUAUAAUUAUAUUGUUUCACACCU